GGCCCAGUGGUGUAGUGGAAAAACACUUGCUUGUAAUAAGUGGCCAUUAAACCGUGUUGCGCAAGAGAUCUCUGUUCAACUCAGGGUUGGGUCA
This is a non-coding RNA of Mycena rebaudengoi, 94 nucleotides long. NCBI's taxonomy places the organism in Eukaryota, Fungi, Basidiomycota, Agaricomycetes, Agaricales, Mycenaceae. The record is from the annotation of a GenBank genome assembly.